This 407-nucleotide ribosomal RNA is filed under the name uncultured prokaryote. Its description in RNAcentral is "bacterial SSU rRNA". It matches the Rfam family "Bacterial small subunit ribosomal RNA", at positions 355 to 776 of the family's 1533-position model. RNAcentral also lists the same sequence under 1 other name. The record is from RNAcentral.
UGGGGGAUAUUGCACAAUGGAGGAAACUCUGAUGCAGCGACGCCGCGUGAGGGAAGAAGGUCUUCGGAUUGUAAACCUCUGUCUUUAGGGACGAAGAAAGUGACGGUACCUAAAGAGGAAGCCACGGCUAACUACGUGCCAGCAGCCGCGGUAAUACGUAGGUGGCGAGCGUUGUCCGGAUUUACUGGGUGUAAAGGGUGCGUAGGCGGGUUAUCAAGUUGGGUGUGAAACCUCCGUGCUUAACACGGAGCCUGCAUUCAAAACUGGUAAUCUUGAGUGAGGUAGAGGUAGAUGGAAUUCCCGGUGUAGCGGUGAAAUGCGUAGAGAUCGGGAGGAACACCAGUGGCGAAGGCGGUCUACUGGGCCUUAACUGACGCUGAGGCACGAAAGCAUGGGUAGCAAACAGG